RNAcentral lists this ribosomal RNA (196 nucleotides) under uncultured bacterium. Its description in RNAcentral is "partial 16S ribosomal RNA". It matches the Rfam family "Bacterial small subunit ribosomal RNA", at positions 326 to 539 of the family's 1533-position model. The record is from RNAcentral.
ACGCUCGACACCUACGAGGCAGCAGUGGGGAAUAUUGCACAAUGGGGGGAACCCUGAUGCAGCGACGCCGCGUGAGGGAAGAAGGUUUUCGGAUUGUAAACCUCUGUCCUUGGUGACGAUAAUGACGGUAGCCAAGGAGGAAGCCACGGCUAACUACGUGCCCGCAGCCGCGGUAAUCUGAGCGGGCUGGCAAGGC